AUGUAAUCAAAUGGGAAUGGUGCAGUAUUCUAGUCGGUCCUCCGUUCCUGAAGGCGGGCCUAAAAAUCCGCCAAAGGGCACAUCGAUGAAGUUCCUUGUGCUGGCUUGAGGCGCCCAGCCUUGGGUCAGUGCUGGGAGUUAAGGUAGCAGGGCGAUCCACAAAGGCAUGUGGGCGAGGACCCUGCUUCCGCGGAGGCCCAUCUCUGUAGUGGCGGCUAAGCCUAGUAGCUGCUAUGGAAUGGGGUAUGAACCUGCGCAAUAGGGAAAGGGAAUCUCUAUUCGCAGCGUAGCCUGCCUUGAGUGGCCCUGAGGGGAUAAUGGCUCACGGCGUGAUAAAAGCGGCCACUUUUAUUUCGCUAUUUUGCCAUUUGAAAUCAGUGCUGCAAAAGAGGCUAGGGAACGGCUAAAGACUGUCGAGGAAAUCUCCUAGACUGUUCCAAUGGACAUUUAAAAGGGAUUAUAGUGCGGACUAAGUGGCAAUCCAGUCUAGCUUUUGGUGACAAAGCUAAGGUGGAUUUAAAGGGGAACCGCCAGAAUGGCAACAUUCGGUAUCCAUCUGGGAAAACCUACUGGACCUAAGCCGCAGUUUUUACCUUUUAAAUGACCAUUCCUUAUACAUAAUUC
Sediminibacillus halophilus is the source of this 624-nucleotide non-coding RNA. NCBI's taxonomy places the organism in Bacteria, Bacillati, Bacillota, Bacilli, Caryophanales, Bacillaceae. The record is from Rfam.